AGAAGACAUCUGAAAGAGAUUAAAGAUUUAUCGGUGAUGGAUGGGGAUGCGUCUGAUUAGCUUGUUGGCGGGGUAACGGCCCACCAAGGCAACGAUCAGUAGGGGUUCUGAGAGGAAGGUCCCCCACAUUGGAACUGAGACACGGUCCAAACUCCUACGGGAGGCAGCAGUGAGGAAUAUUGGUCAAUGGACGAGAGUCUGAACCAGCCAAGUAGCGUGCAGGAUGACGGCCCUAUGGGUUGUAAACUGCUUUUAUAAGGGAAUAAAGUGAGUCUCGUGAGACUUUUUGCAUGUACCUUAUGAAUAAGGACCGGCUAAUUCCGUGCCAGCAGCCGCGGUAAUACGGAAGGUCCGGGCGUUAUCCGGAUUUAUUGGGUUUAAAGGGAGCGUAGGCCGGAGAUUAAGCGUGUUGUGAAAUGUAGACGCUCAACGUCUGCACUGCAGCGCGAACUGGUUUCCUUGAGUACGCACAAAGUGGGCGGAAUUCGUGGUGUAGCGGUGAAAUGCUUAGAUAUCACGAAGAACUCCGAUUGCGAAGGCAGCUCACUGGAGCGCAACUGACGCUGAAGCUCGAAAGUGCGGGUAUCGAACAGGAUUAGAUACCCUGGUAGUCCGCACGGUAAACGAUGGAUGCCCGCUGUUGGUCUGAAUAGGUCAGCGGCCAAGCGAAAGCAUUAAGCAUCCCACCUGGGGAGUACGCCGGCAACGGUGCAACUCAAA
This 720-nucleotide ribosomal RNA is filed under the name uncultured Bacteroidota bacterium. RNAcentral's name for it is "bacterial SSU rRNA". It matches the Rfam family "Bacterial small subunit ribosomal RNA", at positions 171 to 905 of the family's 1533-position model. The record is from RNAcentral. Lineage: Bacteria; Pseudomonadati; Bacteroidota.